GACGAACGCUGGCGGCGUGCUUAACACAUGCAAGUCGAACGGAAAGGCCCUGCGUUUGUGGGGUGCUCGAGUGGCGAACGGGUGAGUAACACGUGUGUAACCUGCCCUUGACUUUGGGAUAACUUCAGGAAACUGGGGCUAAUACCGGAUAGGAGCUCCGGCUGCAUGGUGGGGGUUGGAAAGUUUCGGCGUUUGGGGAUGGACUCGCGGCUUAUCAGCUUGUUGGUGGGGUAGUGGCUUACCAAGGCUUUGACGGGUAGCCGGACUGAGAGGGUGACAGGCCACAUUGGGACUGAGAUACGGCCAAGACUCCUACGGGAGGCAGCAGUGGGGAAUAUUGCACAAUGGGCGGAAGCCUGAUGCAGCAACGUCGCGUGCGGGAUGACGGCUUUCGGGUUGUAAACCGCUUUCGCCUGUGACGAAGCGUGAGUGACGGUAAUGGGUAAAGAAGCACCGGCUAACUACGUG
This 468-nucleotide ribosomal RNA is filed under the name uncultured bacterium. RNAcentral's name for it is "partial 16S ribosomal RNA". It matches the Rfam family "Bacterial small subunit ribosomal RNA", at positions 28 to 507 of the family's 1533-position model. The record is from RNAcentral.